RNAcentral lists this ribosomal RNA (773 nucleotides) under uncultured Neocallimastigales. RNAcentral's name for it is "partial large subunit ribosomal RNA". It matches the Rfam family "Eukaryotic large subunit ribosomal RNA", at positions 23 to 646 of the family's 3401-position model. Lineage: Eukaryota; Fungi; Neocallimastigomycota; Neocallimastigomycetes; Neocallimastigales. The record is from RNAcentral.
AGAGAGAGACAUGCGCGCAUAUCAAUAAGCGGAGGAAAAGAAACUAACAAGGAUUCCCCUAGUAACGGCGAGUGAAGCGGGAAGAGCUCAAAUUUGAAAUCUUAAAGGGUUUCCCUUUACGAAUUGUAGUUUAAAGAAGUGUUUUCUGUUGAGGUUUUGGUAAAAGUUCUUUGGAAUAGGACAUCAUAGAGGGUGAGAAUCCCGUAUUUGACCUUUACUUUCAACUCUGUGAUACACUUUCAAAGAGUCGGAUUGUUUGGGAAUGCAGUCCAAAAUGGGUGGUAAAUUUCAUCUAAAGCUAAAUAUUGGCGAGAGACCGAUAGCGAACAAGUACCGUGAGGGAAAGAUGAAAAGAACUUUGAAAAGAGAGUUAAACAGUACGUGAAAUUGUCAAAAGGGAAGCGUUUGACACCAGUGUUGUUUUUCUGAAAAUCAAUUAAAGAACUGUUUAUGCUAAGCUGUUUAGACUUUAUCAGCUAACUGUUUAGUUUUGAGCUUUUCUUUAAUGCACUUUUCAGUUAACAAGUCAACAUCAAUUUCUUUUGCUGUAAAAAAGCUUGAGGAAGGUGGCUUGAGAUUCGUCUUAAGUGUUUAUAGCCUCUUGCCUAUGCAGUCGGAGAGAUUGAGGUCUGCAGCGUAGAUCCUUCGGGGCUAAAUGCAUUUGUGCUAAGUUAUAGCAUUUUAUAGACAACUUGUUGACUAUGAUUUGUCUUGUAGCUUACUCGCUUAUGUUAUUUUACCUACGCUUAGGAUGUUGACGCAUGAGAUAUACG